RNAcentral lists this long non-coding RNA (545 nucleotides) under Triticum aestivum (bread wheat). Its description in RNAcentral is "long non-coding RNA (TAES_LNC006406)". Lineage: Eukaryota; Viridiplantae; Streptophyta; Magnoliopsida; Poales; Poaceae. The record is from RNAcentral.
GUGGGCAGUCAACUCCAGUACAGCCAGGCCUCGCCUCUCUAGGUUUGAUAACUCCAUGCGAUCUGGCAUCUGUCAAAAUAGAUGCCACUUUGGUUUAAGUACCCACAUAAUCUUUUUGGUAUAUAUGAUACUCAUUUCAUAGCUUAGGGUAGUGCAAGGUAUAAAAGUAGUUUAGAGGUACUUACACUCGAGGUCGGACUUUGCUUGAGCCUCAAUCUCAAACAACUCUGCUCUGAGGUGCUCCCCCUGCUCCUUAGCAAAGCACGCCGGUCUUGGUUGAUAGCCAAAACACAUGUGUUGCUUGUACCCACUUCAUUGGUGCUGUUAUUCCUCAUAAGCAGCCGUUGCCUGAAGCGGUUAAGGCUACACGGACCUGCAAGUUUAAAUGGUGGCGGUCAGCUUCAUGUUUUUGCACAUCGCAGUGUAACAUUUUUCGUUUACAACUCUUUUCUCUUUUUUGUAGCAGACAACUUGCCUGUAGCACGUUCACCCGUCCCACCCCCGGGAUCCGGACGCUAGUUGGUUGAGCUUCUAUGCUUUCACCU